GAUGAACGCUGGCGGCGUGCCUAAUACAUGCAAGUCGAGCGAACAGACGAGGCGCUUGCUCCUCUGACGUUAGCGGCGGACGGGUGAGUAACACGUGGAUAACCUACCUAUAAGACUGGGAUAACUUCGGGAAACCGGAGCUAAUACCGGAUAAUAUAUUGAACCGCAUGGUUCAAUAGUGAAAGACGGUUUUGCUGUCACUUAUAGAUGGAUCCGCGCCGCAUUAGCUAGUUGGUAAGGUAACGGCUUACCAAGGCAACGAUGCGUAGCCGACCUGAGAGGGUGAUCGGCAACACUGGAACUGAGACACGGUCCAGACUCCUACGGGAGGCAGCAGUAGGGAAUCUUCCGCAAUGGGCGAAAGCCUGACGGAGCAACGCCGCGUGAGUGAUGAAGGUCUUCGGAUCGUAAAACUCUGUUAUUAGGGAAGAACAAAUGUGUAAGUAACUAUGCACGUCUUGACGGUACCUAAUCAGAAAGCCACGGCUAACUACGUG
RNAcentral lists this ribosomal RNA (497 nucleotides) under uncultured bacterium. RNAcentral's name for it is "partial 16S ribosomal RNA". It matches the Rfam family "Bacterial small subunit ribosomal RNA", at positions 28 to 507 of the family's 1533-position model. The record is from RNAcentral.